GUGGGGAAUAUUGGACAAUGGGGGGAACCCUGAUCCAGCCAUGCCGCGUGUGUGAAGAAGGCCUUUUGGUUGUAAAGCACUUUAAGCGAGGAGGAGGCUACCGAGAUUAAUACUCUUGGAUAGUGGACGUUACUCGCAGAAUAAGCACCGGCUAACUCUGUGCCAGCAGUCGCGGUAAUACAGAGGGUGCAAGCGUUAAUCGGAUUUACUGGGCGUAAAGCGCGCGUAGGUGGCCAAUUAAGUCAAAUGUGAAAUCCCCGAGCUUAACUUGGGAAUUGCAUUCGAUACUGGUUGGCUAGAGUAUGGGAGAGGAUGGUAGAAUUCCAGGUGUAGCGGUGAAAUGCGUAGAGAUCUGGAGGAAUACCGAUGGCGAAGGCAGCCAUCUGGCCUAAUACUGACACUGAGGUGCGAAAGCAUGGGGAGCAAACAGGAUUAGAAACCCUUGUAGUCC
Molecule: ribosomal RNA, 451 nt
Filed under: uncultured bacterium
Lineage: Bacteria
Description: partial 16S ribosomal RNA
Rfam family: Bacterial small subunit ribosomal RNA
Source: RNAcentral